RNAcentral lists this non-coding RNA (177 nucleotides) under Methylophaga sp. 42_25_T18. RNAcentral describes it as "6S RNA". It matches the Rfam family "6S / SsrS RNA". Rfam says of the family: E. coli 6S RNA was the first non coding RNA to be sequenced, but its function was unknown until recently. The record is from RNAcentral. RNAcentral also lists the same sequence under 1 other name. Lineage: Bacteria; Pseudomonadati; Pseudomonadota; Gammaproteobacteria; Thiotrichales; Piscirickettsiaceae.
ACGUCCCUGCGGUGCUCGCGACUGACACGUGUGUCUUGAGCCGAUAAGCAAAUUGCAUGGAUAUCAAAACAAAGUUGGCGUGCAAGCCCGCUAGACGGGAAGCCCGAUGCUUUGAUGAGAUAACCACUUGAACCCCAUGGUUCGAGAACCCCGUCACAACGACACUGUGGGGACUAU